This 253-nucleotide ribosomal RNA is filed under the name uncultured bacterium. RNAcentral describes it as "partial 16S ribosomal RNA". It matches the Rfam family "Bacterial small subunit ribosomal RNA", at positions 524 to 776 of the family's 1533-position model. The record is from RNAcentral.
UACGUAGGGUGCGAGCGUUAAUCGGAAUUACUGGGCGUAAAGCGUGCGCAGGCGGUUUUUUAAGACAGAUGUGAAAUCCCCGGGCUCAACCUGGGACCUGCAUUUGUGACUGUAUAGCUAGAGUACGGUAGAGGGGGAUGGAAUUCCGCGUGUAGCAGUGAAAUGCGUAGAUAUGCGGAGGAACACCGAUGGCGAAGGCAAUCCCCUGGACCUGUACUGACGCUCAUGCACGAAAGCGUGGGGAGCAAACAGG